RNAcentral lists this ribosomal RNA (525 nucleotides) under uncultured bacterium. Its description in RNAcentral is "partial 16S ribosomal RNA". It matches the Rfam family "Bacterial small subunit ribosomal RNA", at positions 355 to 895 of the family's 1533-position model. The record is from RNAcentral.
UGGGGAAUAUUGCACAAUGGGCGAAAGCCUGAUGCAGCAACGCCGCGUGAGUGAUGAAGGCCUUUGGGUUGUAAAGCUCUGUUGCUUUGGGACGAUAAUGACGGUACCAAAGGAGGAAGCCACGGCUAACUACGUGCCAGCAGCCGCGGUAAUACGUAGGUGGCAAGCGUUGUCCGGAUUUACUGGGCGUAAAGGAUGCGUAGGCGGAUUUUUAAGUGAGAUGUGAAAUACCCGGGCUUAACUUGGGUGCUGCAUUUCAAACUGGGAAUCUAGAGUGCGGGAGAGGAGAAUGGAAUUCCUAGUGUAGCGGUGAAAUGCGUAGAGAUUAGGAAGAACACCAGUGGCGAAGGCGAUUCUCUGGACCGUAACUGACGCUGAGGCAUGAAAGCGUGGGUAGCAAACAGGAUUAGAUACCCUGGUAGUCCACGCCGUAAACGAUGAGUACUAGGUGUAGGAGGUAUCGACCCCUUCUGUGCCGCAGUUAACACAAUAAGUACUCCGCCUGGGAAGUACGAUCGCAAGAUU